UACAGAGGUCUCAAGCGUUGUUCGGAUUCAUUGGGCGUAAAGGGUGUGUAGGUGGCGCCGUAAGUCGGGUGUGAAAUUUCGGAGCUUAACUCCGAAACUGCAUUCGAUACUGCGGUGCUUGAGGACUGGAGAGGAGACUGGAAUUCAUGGUGUAGCAGUGAAAUGCGUAGAGAUCAUGAGGAAGACCGGUGGCGAAGGUGGGUCUCUGGACAGUUCCUGACACUGAGACACGAAGGCCAGGGGAGCAAACGGG
This 253-nucleotide ribosomal RNA is filed under the name uncultured bacterium. RNAcentral's name for it is "partial 16S ribosomal RNA". It matches the Rfam family "Bacterial small subunit ribosomal RNA", at positions 524 to 776 of the family's 1533-position model. The record is from RNAcentral.